This 131-nucleotide small nucleolar RNA is filed under the name Leptobrachium leishanense (Leishan spiny toad). RNAcentral describes it as "Small nucleolar RNA SNORA31 (ENSLLEG00000022475.1)". It matches the Rfam family "Small nucleolar RNA SNORA31". From Rfam's summary of the family: ACA31 (SNORA31) belongs to the H/ACA class of snoRNAs which are thought to guide the sites of modification of uridines to pseudouridines. Lineage: Eukaryota; Metazoa; Chordata; Amphibia; Anura; Megophryidae. The record is from Rfam by way of RNAcentral.
AAGCAUCCAUUGAUAGACCAUAAGCUUCUGUUUGGUUGCUUUUUGGUUUGCACAGAGAUGCAAUAGAAAUUUUCCUCGCGCUUUCUGUCUUGUCUGGUGUGACUUUUCAGUUUGAAUAGAGGAAUACACAA